This is a non-coding RNA of Pelobates cultripes (western spadefoot toad), 592 nucleotides long. The record is from the annotation of a GenBank genome assembly. NCBI's taxonomy places the organism in Eukaryota, Metazoa, Chordata, Amphibia, Anura, Pelobatidae.
GUCCCAGCUACCCCUGCAAGGCACUUCCUGUGUGACAGGCUGCCAGGGGUCACAUGCCUUCCGCUUCCUGUCCAGCCUUAUACACAGACACUGGAGAGCUGGGACAGAACUAAGUUUUACUCCUCUAAAUCUGUUUCCAGAGCUCUACUAUCUGGACUACAGAGGACACUGUCCAAGGCCCAUUCUACUUAUCAUCCCACCAGCUCACUUAAGUUCCAAAAAAGGCACAUUAUAAGUGUUGCAAACAGGUGUCUCCUAGUGGACAUGCAACUGUAGGCAGUUACCUUCUCUGCCUAUUUGGAAAUCUGGCCUUGGUAAUUGUGCUGUGAGUCAUUGUGUAUCAUCCAUUAUUAGUCCAGCACUUUCAGACCAUUAUCGACAUACAGUGUUGAUGAAUUCAUACAGAUAAUGCAAAAGUGUAAUUUAUGUAUCUAUGCAGUUACAGAGUGUAGAGACAUAUAGUCAAUCUGUUUAAAAAUGAAAACCAGUGUUAUUGGCGUACAAUGGUGUGAAAACUGGCAUACAAUACCUAUAGAAUCAAAAAGCUAUAACCAUAAAAUGAGCUUUACCAGUUAUGGAUGUCUGAAAGUGC